GCUGGUCCACGGAAACCCGCCCACUGCAGUAAGCUAAAUACAUAACCCACCAAAUCAAUAAAAUUUCAGCAACAUAACAUGGCUAAUAUAGUACUAUCCAACCUAUCAAUGUAAGACAAAACAAGUUAUAUAAUUCACAAAACCACAAUUUCAGCCAUCCAUGCUACCACAAUUUCAUAAGCCAUCAAUUCAAAUCAUGUAUAUAUAUAUAAUACAAAUGUGAUUUUCUUGCUUGUUUUUCCUUCUAAACAUCACAAAAUGACUAAAAACACUAGGAUAUUAUGAAAUCUAGCAAAAUUCAUCACCAAAACUUCUCUCUCUAGGUUUGGCCAGCAAAGGUUCCCUCUUGAAAACUUGAAUUUCAGCCAUGGAGAAUGAAAAAGAAUGCAUGGGAAAGGUAAAUCACAAAUACAUUCUAAGGUAAAAUAUUUUUUUUAUAUUUUAUAAAAAUUCUCGAAUUAACUCCAAAUCAAUCCUCGAAUUUCGAAUCAUCAUAUUAAGACAUUCUAAGAUUCAAUAACUCUUAAAUACAUCGUAAAAUCUUUAUUUGGCCUAGUUCGAGGCUUUAAUCAACUUAAUUGUACCACUAGGUACAAUAUCGACUUUUAACGAUUUUCCAAUACAUUCACUUAUACAAACAUUCUAUCAAGCACAUGAAUGACAUGACAAGUAUAUAAUAGAGUAGGGCUUGAUAGCACUACCCCCCUUAAAGUAAAAUUUUGACCUCAAAAUUUCACUUAUCGGACUCAGAGAAAAGAUGCGGGUAUUGGUUUCUCAUCUGGUGCUCAACUUCCCACGUCAUCUCCUCUAUCUGAGCAUUUUUCCACAACACCUUAACCAUUGGAAUGUUCUUGUUCCUUAACACUCGAUCCUUUCGGUCUAAAAUACGUACAGGUUGCACCUCGAACUUUAAAUCUUCUUGCAACUUAAUCGGAGGUGCCUCGAGAAUAUGGGAGGGAUCAGGUACAUACUUCUUCAACAUCGAGAUGUGGAAGACAUUGUGAAUUUGAUCUAACUCCGGGGGUAAUUCUAGUGUAUAUGCCAUUGGCCCAAUCCUUUCAAUAAUACGAAAGGGUCCAAUGUAUCUUGAAUUGAGCUUUCCUCGCUUUGCAAAAAGGAUCACACCUUUCAUUAUCCAACAAGAUACCAUAAUUUACGACAAUAAUAUAAUCAAAUAAGACUUAAUACCUCAAAGUAUUCAAAUCAUUACAUUUAUAAGGAGAGACCUUAAGAAAAACUCUAUCAUCAACUUCAAAUUCUAAAUCUUUUCUCCGUCUAUCAGAGUAACUCUUCUGCCUGUCUUGAGCUGUCUUUAAUCGCUUUCGGAUAACCUUGAUCUUGUCAUUAGUCAAAUCAAUCAGUUCUACAUUAAAUAAUUUCCUCUAACACACUUCAUCCCAUCAAAGUGGAAUUCGGCACUUUCUCCCAUACAAAGCCUCAUAUGGUGCCAUCCCAAUACUAAAUUGAAAACUGUUGUUAUACGCGAACUCCACCAACGGCAAGUGUCUGUCCCAACUCCCAGUAAAGUCAAUGACACAAGCCCAUAGCAUAUCCUCUAGAGUCCAAAUGGUCCUUUCAGAUUGACCAUCUGUCUGUGGAUGAAAGAUAGUGCUAAACCUCAAAUUAGUUCCAAGAGCCUCUUAAAAUUUUGGCCAAAAUUGAGAAGUGAACCAGGGGUCUCGAUCUGACACGAUAGAAACUGAAACUCCAUGUAAUCUCACUAUCUCAUCUAUAUAAAACUUAGCCAGUUUCUCAAUGGAAUACGUGCUAUGGAUAGCCAAGAAAUGGGCGGACUUAGUCAAUCUAUCCACAAUCACCCAUAUAGCAUCCUUCCCACUCUGUGUCCGCGAUAAACCCAAUUCAAAAUCCAUAGUCAUGUGCUCCCACUUCCAUUCCGGGAUAGGUAGAGGUUGAAGAGUACCCGAUGGUUUAUGAUGUUUCGCCUUAAUUUGUUGGCAUGUGAGACAUUUCGCUACAAACUUUGCUAUGUCUUGUUUCAUACCCGGCCACCAGUAACUUUCCUUGAUAGUCUUGUACAUUUUGGUGCUUUUGGGAUGUAAAGCAUAGGCGGAAGAGUGAGCUUUCUCCAAAAUAGCUCGUCUCAACUGGUCAUCCUUAGGGACACAAACUUGGCUCCCAAGCAUAAAGAUACCAUUAUCACCGAGUCUAAACUCACUAGUUUCUCCGUCUUGCAACUUUUGAACUUCUCGUUUUAACUCAUCAUCAGACUUUUGUAAUUCCUUGAUUUUAUUCAACAAUGAGGGUCUCACAACAAAACUAGCAAGUAGGGUUCCAUCCUCGCCAUUAGUCAACUGGAUCCCUAAAGAUUUCAUCUCACGUAGCAUUAGAAAAUAAGAAUUUCGAAGUGAUGCUAACGAAGAUGAGGAUUUACGGCUUAAGGCAUCUGCUACAACAUUUGCUCUCCCCGGAUGAUAAUCAAUUACUAAGUCGUAAUCCUUAAUUAACUCUAACCAUCGUCUUUGUCUCAAAUUGAGUUCUUUUUGGGUGAGCAAAUAUUUCAAAAUUUUGUGAUCUGUAAAGAUCCGACAACAUUUGUUGUAUAAGUAAUGCCUCCAGAUUUUCAAUGCAAAGACUACUGCUGCCAACUCCAAAUCGUGGGUAGGGUAAUUCAUCUCGUGUUUCUUCAACUGUCGAGAAGUAUAAGCUAUUACUUUCUCAUCUUGCAUUAACACACACCUUAAUCCUAAUUUGGAGGCAUCAUUGUACACCACAAAUUCUUUCUCACUAACAGGUAGUGUUAAAAUCGGAGCGGAGGUCAACCGAUUCUUUAGCUCCUGAAAUCGACUCUUGCAAACGUCAUCCACUCAAACUUGACUCCUUUACGAGUUAGACGAGUCAGAGGAGCAGCUAUCAAUAAGAACCCUUGAACGAACCUCCUAUAAUAAUCGGCUAAACUAAGAAAACUUUAAAUUUCUAUUACCGUUUCGAUUGCUCCCACUGUACGAUGGCCUCUAUCUUCUUGGGAUCGACAUAAAUUCCAACUCCAGACACAACAUGUCCCAAGAAAACCACUUCCUUCAACCAAAACUCACAUUUUGAAAACUUGGCAUAAAGUUGUUUCUCACGUAAGGUUUGCAGUACAAUGCGCAAAUGGGCAACAUGUUCAUCAUUAUCCUUUGAAUACACUAGAAUAUCAUCUAUGAACACUAUCACAAACUUAUCCAAGUAUGGGUGGAACACCUUGUUCAUGAGGUCCAUAAAAGCUGCCGGGGCAUUAGUCAGCUUUGAAUUCUUUCUCACCAACUCUUAUCCCACAAUCUUUGUAACAGGUGUUUCUAAUCAACUAUUCCCCUAGAGGGGUAUGAACUACAAUUUCCUCCUCUAAAGGUGACAGGUUUCUAUCAGAAAAGGAUGAAAAUGUUAUGCUGACAUAAGAUCUAUAAGAAGAAACAGAACGAGUUUAGACAACUUUAGGUCCUAUAUGCAGAUGCAUACAUUCAACUCGAUCUAACUUAACUUGGGGCCACACUGACACUAUAAUUUUUAAAAUAACAUUAAAACCAAAGCUCUGAUACCAAUUGACUUGUCACGACCCAAAAUUUCCAUUGAGCCCGUGACAACCGUCGCGAUGUCUUGAUUGACAUUCAUUACCCUAAAUGCCAACCGAAACCUCGCAAGGCUUUCGCAUUAGUUUACUUCUCUUCUGUGAGCAACAGUUAUUAAAUACCAUGUUUUAAGGAAAUAUAGACUAAUUUCAAAUAAAAAAUAAUCAAAAAGUAAUUUCUACUACACGGGGGUAUUUUGGUCAUUUUAUCCAAAUUUUUUGAACCCUGGUAAAAAUAUGAUAUAUGAGUAAUAAGCAUCCAUUUCAUGUCUAAAAAUAAGUUUCGUUGUCUAAUUCAUCAAUUUAAAGUGAAAUUAUAGCUAUUCAAAUUAAAUAAAAUAUUAUAUUUUCUUAUAAAACAAUAUUUAUAGAGCUCUACGUAAAUAAUUUUUGUAGCGUAAAAGCAAAAUAAAUUCAUACAUAUAGUGGCACACGCAGCCAAGUAUACAAAAUAUUCUACAAUGACAUGUGGGACCCCAAAAUAAACAAAUAUGUACAAGAAGGUAGACCUUCGAUAUCUAAGGAUGUAAAUCCAAAAGUAGAUCCUCGACGAAAUCAGCUAUCUAUAGACUAUCUUGAGCCUGAAAUGGUUAAAAAAAAGAAGAGAUGAGUUUUUAUGAACUUAGUGAGUAAGUAGAGUUCGUCUGUAGCAUCUAAAGUCAAGUAAAUGGAGACAGUUAAAUCAUCCCAUUAAUAUAUAUAUAUAUAUAAUUCAUAGCAUCAAAACCCAUUUCAAUCCAUGUAAAAACAAUCACAUUUCAUCAAGAAAAUCAACAAGGCUUAUGACUUUCUUAAAAACUUGGCUUGUGCCAAAAAUUAGUACUCGAUGAUGCCUUGCGCCGGGCAUCCAACCGAGUUUGCCAAGGCAGUUAAAAAGACAUAUACACAUAAAACAUGUUUUUACGUUUAAAAACACAGCCGUUCCUUGGCGUUGGUUGAGUUUCACUUUCACGUGGUGGUUCGGCGUGAAGUGAACUCUAAACUUUACCUUAGGAGAUACCCUCCGCGCCUCUCAUACUAAGGUAAAUAUAACGGGGUUUACCGUGCCCCUUUAAUAAGCUGGUCCAAGGAAACCCGCCCACUACAGUAAGCUAAAUACAUAACCCACCAAAUCAAUAAAAUUUCAGCAACAUAACAUGGCUAAUAUAAUACUAUCCAACCUGUCAAUGUAAAACAAAACAAUUUAUAUAAUUCACAAAACCACAAUUUCAGCCAUCCAUGCUACCACAAUUUCAUAAGCCAUCAAUUCAAAUCAUGUAUAUAUAUAUCUAAUACGAAUGUGAUUUUCUUGCUUGUUUUCCUUCCAAACAUCACAAAAUGACUAAAAACACUAGGAUAUUAUGAAAUCUAGCAAAAUUCAUCACCAAAACUUCUCUCUCUAGGUUUGGCCAGCAAAGGUUCCCUCUUGAAAACUUGAAUUUCAGCCAUGGAGAAGGAAAAAGAAUGCAUGGGAAAGGUAGAUCACAAACUAAAAUAAAAAAAUCUUACCUUUACUUGCUUAAUUCCUUGAAAUCCAACAAUUUCUCUUGGAUUUUUCCUUCCUAGGGUUUGUUCUUCUCUUUUUCUCUUUGUUCCCUUGCUUGGCUGGCCAUAAGAGUGUGAAUGUGAGGGUUUUAAGUGAGUUUAUAUAGGCAAUUAAAAUAAUAUUAAAGCUUGACACUUGUCAGCUUUUAAUUGGUCCAUGUUUAAAAACUUAAUAAUUAAGCAUUUCAUUCCCACCACAUAUAAUCUCUCACUUAAAAAAAUAAUGGAUGAAAUUCAUGGGUUUGACAAGUGUCAUGGUGGUGUAAAAUUCCAAAAUUUCCAAUUUCGUCCUCAUGGACACUUAAAAUGACCAUUUUGCCCCUAUGUUCGAAAAAAUAUCAAAAUUGAAAAUUUUCACUUCUCAAAUUUAAAUAAUGCUCUAAUUAAUCAAAUUUAGUCAAAAUAUCAUCCAACAUUCCAAUUUUUCCCUUGGGUGGCAAAAUGACCAUUUUACAAUAUAUAAUAUAAUGUGCAGUAUAUACUGUUGCAUGAUUGGAAUUAAGCCUCAACCAAUCCCAAUUGGCUGUAGGGCUCAUCCCAACAAUAACAUCUUUGGGUAGCACCUGUUUUAGUUUCUCCACAUCCCAUAUACCAUUGUAAUAAAAAUGAUUGACUUUAGUCAUGGAACCUACAUAGUUCGAAAACAAAUUUACCAAAGGAUUCUCACCCAUCCAACAAUCAUGCUAGAAGAAAAGCUCUCCCUUCCCCACUUUCCAUCAAAUGUAAUAUUCUGCAAGCUGACAACCAUGUAAAAUACGUUUCCAUACCUGUGAGUCAUGUGGUUUCGGAUGAGCAAGCAUAGGGAUUUGGCCAAAGGAGCAUUUAGUCUGCAUAAACCAUGUCCAAAGAUUAUUACAAGUUCUGAACCGUCGUCAAAGUUUUGUUGUGAAAGCCUAAAAAACAUCCAUCAAUUUUCUAAUUUCCAAGCCACCUUCUACAUAAGGAGCAGUAUUUUCAACCAUGAUGCUUAGUGAAAUCAUUUUGAUUCAGCCAAGCUUCCCCAAAAAAAACUGUUAAACAACCUUUCAAUUUUUUCAAUUACACCCACUAGCGACUUAAGAACCUAAAGUAAGUAAAUAGGCAAGGAUGAUAAGACACUCUUUAUGAGAGCAAUGCGACCCCCUAGAGAUAAAAUUUUGUUCUCCUACCCAAAGAUACUAUAUCUUAUCUUCAAAAUUAAAUCAUCAAACAAGAUCAUUUUCUUAUGCCUUUUGUAUAAUGGAGCUCCCAAAUAAGUAAUAAGGAGGCAUUUAUAAGCAAACCCUAUAGUUCAAGCAAUAAUUUACCUUUUACUAUUCACAAUAGGCAUGAGUUAUAAAAUAACUUUUUGGAUGGUUAAGACUUUGCCCUGAAACUUGUUCAUAUUCCUCCAAAAAGGACAAGAUUUUUUGUAAAGUCGAUUUACUUCCAUUGGCAAAGAUCAACACAUCGUCUGCAAAUGCUAGAUGGCUUAUGGAUAAUGAGCAUAAAAAAUUAUAUUGAAGAGAUGUAAAUUGAAAAAAUAACAUAUUUAAUCCUCUAGAUAAAUAUUCAGCAGAUAAUAUAAAUAAGAGAGGAGAAAUAGAAUCCCCUUGCCUCAGCCCAUGCUCUGAUUUAAAAUAACCCACCAAUUGACCAUUAAUAAGCAAUGAAAACCAACAAUUGGAGAUGCAUCUCUGAAUCAUAUUAAUCCAUUGACCAAAAAUCGAAAUUGUUCCAUCAUGAGAUAUAAAAAUCCCAAUAUAAGUGAUCAUAGGCCUUCAUCAUAUCAAGCUUGAAGGCUUCAUUACCUCCAUGAGUUUUGUAAUCAAUUCUCCCCAUCACUCCUACGCCAAAAGGAUAUUUUCUAUCAAGCCCAGCUUUAUAAUAUACUUCCCAUGUCCUUCAUGCACUUGAUAGCAUGUCUGCAUACUUGGAUGCCUCGGAGAAUCGUUAAAAGUCAGUGUCGUACCUAGUGGUACAAUUAAGUCGAUUAAAAUCUUGAACUAGUUUGAAUAGAGAUUUUAGGAUGUAUUUAAGAGUUAUUGAACCUUAGAAUGUCUUAAUAUGGUGAUUUGGAGUUUGAAGAUUAAUUUGGAGUCAAAUUAGGAAUUUUCAUAACGUAGGGGCAAAAUGGUCAUUUUGCCACCUAAGGGCAAAAUGAGAAUGUUGGAUGAAAUUUUUGAUCAAGUUUGACUAAUUGGAGCAUGAUUUGAAUUUGAGAAAUGAAAAAUUUUAAUUCUGACCAUUUUUCGAACAUAAGGGCAAAAUAGUCAUUUUACGUGUCCACGAGGACGUAAUUGGAAUUUUUGGAAUUUUACACCACCAACACUUGUCAAGCCCAUGAAUUUUACCUAUUAUUAUUUUAUACUUUGGAUAAUUAAGAGAUUACAUGUGGUGGUGAGAAAAUGCUCAAUUGUUAAGUUUUAACCAUAGACCAAUCACAUGGUGACACAUGUCAAGCUUUAAUAUUUUUAUAAUUUCCUUUAUAAACUCUCCCAUUUCACUCUUCAUGGCCAGCCAAAGCAAAGAACAAAGAGAAAAGAAUGGAAACAAACCCUAGAGAAGAAAAUUCAAGAGAAAUUUGUUGAAUUUCAAAGAAUAAAGCAGUCAAACGUAAGAUUUUUCAAUUUUAGCUUAAAAUCUACCUUUCCCAUGGUUUCUUUUUCAUUUUCUAUGGAUGAAACAAAAGUUUCCAUAAGGUAAUACUUGCUGGCUGAACAUAGGGAGAGAGGUUUUGAUGGUGGAUUUUGCUAGAUUUCAUGAUAUCUUAGUGUUUUUAGUUGUUUGAUGAUGUUUAGCAUGAAAACAAGCAAGAAAAUCACAUGCCCUUCAACAACCCUCUUUGGCCGAAUUUUAUAAAUGACAUGUUGAUGAUGGAUUUUGUUGUAUUUCAUGUUAUUUAGCUCGUAAUUGAUGAUUUAUGGUAUCGGAUAUCGAAAACGGCUAUCAAAAAGUAUAGUUCCUUUAGUAAACGACUUGAACAAUAACGAGAAAAUCAUAGUGAAUGGACUUGGAUUUGAUUCUUAAUGAUAUAGAUGGAUUUAUUGGACUGUGUUAACACUGAUUAACACGUUAGUUCGGAAUCGAAAUGAAUUUCGGUUACGAUGAAUUAAGUCAUAAUCAAGCUCAUUAAGGUACUUUGGUGUAUUUGGAAUAUUGGAAGUGUAAUGAAGAUAUUUGAAGUUGAAUCGAAUGUUUUGGUUAAUUCAACAGUGUAUAGUUCGAGUUAGGUCGAAUACAAAUUCAGUCCGAUCAUAAUUGAACCCACGCAGAACACCAUCUGUAAGUGAUUAUUCAAACAAUUCUCAUUCAAUUUCAUGCAUUCAUAUAGAGCCUGAAAUAGUUUUAGAACAGUUUCGCACAAAUAUAUUGAAUUACGUGUUGUGUAUUAUGUAUAGGUGAUGAGCCCUCUGACAAGAGUAAAGAUAUCGUACCCGAGGACCAAGAAUAGGAGUACUCCAAACUCCCGUUAUUGUGAGUAAUCAAAUGUUCACCUUAACUAUCUAAAGUAGUUUAUACUCGUUUUUAUGAUUUUAAAGAAUAAUGAACUUAAACCGUAGAUUUUAUGUUUUUAUGAUAUAAAGUAGUGUUGGUUAAAUGAAUGAGAUUUAUAAAUUGUUUUGCAAUUCAAUGAUGAUUUUGAAAAUUGAGUAGGUGGAGACUAUAUACUUGUGUUAUUUAUAUAUAUAUAUAUGGUUUAAAUUGAUGGCUUAUGACAAUGUGAUGGCAUGAAUGGUUGGAUUUGUGGUUUGUGGAUUAUAUAAAUUGUUUUGUUUUACCUUGACAGGUUGGGUAAUAUUAUAUUAGCCAUGUCAUGCUGUCGAAAUUUUUAUUGAUUUGGUGGGUUAUUUGAUUAGCUUACUGCAAUGGGCAGGUUUCCGUGGAUCAGCCUAUUAGAGGGGCAUGGUAAACCCCGUUAUAUCUUUCCUUAGUACGAAAGGCACGGAGGGUAUCUCCUAAGGUAAGUUUAGAGUUCACUUCAUGCCAAACCACCACGUGAGGAUGAAACUCAGCCAACGCCAAGGAAUGGCUAUAUUUUAAAAGUAAAAACAUGUUUUAUGGGUAUAUGUCAUUUUAACAUUCUUGGCAGACUUGGUUGGAUGCCAGGGCUAAGAUGUCCCCGAGUAUGAGUUUUGGCACAAGCCAAGUUUUUAAGAGAAUCAUAAGCCUUGUUGAUUAUUUUGAUGAAAUGUAAUUGUUUUAUAUGAAUUGAAAUGAGUUUUGGAAUGUUAUGAAUUAUAUUAUGAUGGGAUGAUUUAACUGUUUUCAUUUACUCGGCUUUAGAUGUUAUAGAUGUACUUUGCUUACUCACUAGGUUUAUAAAAACUCACCCCUUCUUUUACCCAUUUCUGGCUCAAGACAAUCUGUAGACAGUUGAUUUUGUCGAGGGUUGCUUUUGGAUUUGCAUCCUUAGAUAUCGAAAGUCUAUAGUCUUGUAUAUUUUUGGUUAUAUUGAGGCCCACAUGUCAUUGUAGAAUAUUUUUGUAUACCUGGUUUAGUGUGCUAUUAUAUAUAUGAAUUUAUUUUACUCUUACACUACAAAAAUUAUUUAUGCAAGAUUCUAUAAAUAUUGUUUUAUAAGAAAAUGGAAUAUUUUAUUUAGUUUGAUUAGCCAUAAUUUCAUUUUAAAUGGAUGAUUUAGAUUACUAAAAUUAUUUUUAGAUAAGAAAUGUAUAUUUUUCGAUCGUAUGCUAUAUUUUCACCAAGUUUCAAAAUUUUUGGGUAAAAAUGACCAAAAUACCCAUGUGUGGCGAAAAUUACUUUUUGUUUGUUUUUUAUUUAAAAAUAGUUUAUAUUCCCUUAAAACAUGAUAUUUAGUAACUGUUGCUCACAGGGGAGACAUAAAAUUGAUGCAAGAGCCUUACGAGGUUUUAGUUGACAGUUCGGAUAACGAAUGUCUAUCGAGAUAUCGCGGCAGUUGUCAUGGGCUCGAAGGGAGUAUCGGGUCGUGACAAUUCGAUUGGUAUCAAAGCUUUUGAUUUUAAAAUUAUUUAAAAACUACAAUGUCAAUGUGGCCCCAAGUUAGAUUAGAUUGAGUUGAAUGCAUACAAUUGCAUAUAGAACCUAAAAUUGUCUAAAUUCGUUCUGUCUUUUCUUACAGAUCAUUAUGCCCCCUCGACGUGGGCUUCCACCUCUUUCUAGAUCAGUCGGGAGGGGAAGAGGUCGUUCUCAACAUCGUCAACUAGAUCCUGUAGAGGGGGAAUCGACUGCGUCUACUUUUCGGGCAACACUUGCUGUUGAACAAACUGAGACUCCUCCACAUCCUUCACCUCUUCCACCACUUAUUAGUAUUCCUAGUAUUCCUGCCAUGCCUCCUGAGGUAGUUCAGGCAUUGGCAGCUUUUCUCAUUGCUAUUAUUGGCUAGGCUCAGGCUGGUCAAGCUCCUCUUGUUGUUCCUCCCGCCGCUCCUUCAGUGCCAUCACCACCCCCACCUUCUGUUCCACCACAAGUACCUAAUGUCUCCAUUUCUAAGAAACUUAAAGAGGCUAGGCAACUCGGUUGCAUUUCUUUUACGGGUGAUUUGGACACAACUGCAGCUAAGGACUAGAUCAUUCAAGUAUCGGAGACACUUACUGAUAUGAACUAGAAGAUGAUAUGAAACUGAUGGUGGCCACUAGAUUGCUUGAGAAAAGGGCUCGUACUUGGUGGAACUCAGUGAAAUCUCGUUCUACUACUCCUUUAACCUGGUCGAAUUUUCUGCAAGAGUUCGACAACCAAUAUUAUACUUAUUUUCAUCAAAAGGAAAAGAAGAGGGAAUUCUUAAGUCUGAAAUAUGGGAGUUUAACAAUAAAGGAGUAUGAGUCUUGUUUUAAUGAGCUAAUGUCUUAUGUGCCCAAUCUGGUGAAGACUGAGCAGGAUCAGGCUAAUUACUUUGAGGAAGGGCUCCGAAAUGAAAUCAGAGAUCAUAUGACAGUAAUGGGUAAGGAGCCAUAUAAAGAGGUUGUGCAGAUGGCUCUACGAGUUGAGAAGCUCACGACUGAGAAUAAGAGGAUUCGAGCCGAGUUUACUAAAAGGAGGAAUCCAAAUAUAUCUUCUAACCAGCCCUCGAAAAAGGGCAAGGAUUUCUCAGCUUCAGGGAGUACUACCACUGUUUCAAUAGCAUCUACUUGACCCCCAUCUCAACAGUCGCAACAAAAGUCUCCUAGAUUCAGUAGAUUAGCGACGAGUGCUCCUAGGAAGAGUUCUAGGAGUUUUGACAGAUGCCGAAAUUAUGGGAGAUUUCAUACUGAGUGGUGUAGGGAGCCCGUACGAUGUUUUCAGUGUGGUUAGCAAGGUCACAUGAGGAGUGCUUGUCCGCAGUUAGGACAAGCUACUAUAGCUAUUUCAUCUCCAUAGGUUCUCACCAAUAUUCAGAAAAGAGAUUCUUUUAGGUCACAACCUAGAUAAGGUGUAGCAAUGCGGUCUGGUGUGGGGAGUAAUACCUCAGCGCAUCUACCUUUUAAACCACAUAGUCAUACUCUGACGAGAGUUUUUGCUGUGACAGAGGAAGAAACACGAGUCUGACCUAGUGUAGUGACAGGUACUAUGUUUGUAUUUGAUAGAUAUGCUUAUGUUUUAAUCGAUUUUGGUUCGAAUAGAUCUUAUGUGAGCACUACAUUUGCAUCCUUUUCUGAUAGAAACCUGUCACCUUUAUAAGAGAAAAUUGUAGUUCAUACCCCUCUAGGGGAACAGUUGAUUAGAAACACCUAUUACAGAGAUUAUGGGAUAAGAGUUGGUGAGGAAGAAUUUAGGAUUGACUUAAUUCCCCUAGAAAUCCAAGAUUUUGAUUUGAUAUUGAGUAUGGACUGGUUGACUACAUAUCGGGCAAAAGUGGAUUAUUUCAGGAAGGAAGUUGUACUUUAAAUUUCUGAGGGAGUAGAGAUUGUAUAUGCAGGAGAACGUCGAGUAUUACCAUCCUGUGUAAUCUCGGCUAUCAAAGUUUUGAAACUAAUGCGAAAAGGGUAUCUUACUUAUUUGGCACAUGUGAUUGAUACGUCAAAGAGGGAACCUAAGUUAGAGGAUGUCCCAAUAGUAAAUGAGUUCUCUGAUGUGUUUUCGGAUGAGUUACCAGGACUACCAACUGAUCGAGAGUUUAAGUUCACUAUUGAUUUAUUUUCGGGUAUCGCACCUAUUUUCAUUCUUUUGUAUCGGAUGGCUCCGGCGGAGUUAAAGGAGUUGAAACUCUAGCUACAAGAAUUGGUGGAUAAGGGUUUUAUUAGCCCUAGUACUUCUCCCUGGUGUGCGCCAGUCUUGUUUGUAAAGAAGAAGGAUGACACUCUUCGGUUAUGUAUUGACUACCGUCAGUUGAACCGAGUGACCAUCAAGAAUAAAUAUCCUUUACCAUGAAUUGAUGAUCUUUUUGAUCAACUACAGGGUGUUACGGUGUUUUCUAAGACUGAUAUGAGGUUUGGGUAUCAUCAGUUGAAGAUCAAGGAGCAGGAUGUACCCAAGACUGCUUUCAGGACUCGUUAUGUGCAUUAUGAGUUUCUAGUUAUGCCUUUUGGUCUGAUAAAUGCCCUGGCAGCUUUUAUGGACCUCAUGAACAGGGUGUUCCACCCGUACUUGGAUAAGUUCAUGAUAGUAUUCAUAGAUGACAUUCUGGUGUAUUUGAAGGAUAAUGAUGAACAUGCUACUCAUUUGUGCAUUGUGCUACAAACCUUGCGCGAGAGACAACUUUUGCCAAAUUUUCUAAAUGUGAGUUCUGGCUGAAGGAAGUGGUUUUCUUGGGACAUGUUAUGUCUGGAACUAGAAUUUAUGUCGAUCUCAAGAAGAUUGAGGCAAUCUUUCAGUGGGAGCAACCAAAAACGGUGACAGAGAUUCGAAGUUUCUUUAGUUUAGUCGGUUACUAUAGGAGGUUCGUUCAAGGGUUCUCAUUGAUAACUGCUCCUCUAACUCAUCUGACUCGUAAAGGAGUCAAAUUUGUGUGGGAUGAUGUCUGCGAGAGUCGAUUUCAGGAGCUGAAGAACCAGUUGACCUCUACUCUCGUCUUGACACUUCCUGUUAGUGGGAAGGAAUUUGUGGUGUACAGUGAUGCCUCUAAAUUAGGAUUAGGGUGCGUGUUAAUGCAAGAUGAGAAAGUAGUAGCUUAUGCUUCUCGGUAGUUGAAAAAGCAUGAGACGAAUUACCUUACCCAUGAUUUGGAGUUGGCAACAGUAGUCUUUGCAUUGAAAAUCUGGAGGCAUUAUUUAUACGGUAAGCGUUGUCGGAUUUUUACUGACCAUAAAAGUUUGAAAUAUUUGCUCACCUAGAAAGAACUCAACUUGACACAGAGAUGAUGGUUAGAGUUAAUUAAGGAUUACAAUUUAGUAAUUGAUUAUCAUCCGGGAAAGGCAAAUGUUGUAGCAGAUGCCUUGAGUCGCAAAUCCUCAUCUUCAUUAGCAUCACUUCGAAAUUCUUAUUUUUUAACACUACUUGAGAUAAAAUCUCUAGGGAUCCAGUUGAGUAAUGGCGAGGAUGGAACCCUACUUGCUAGCUUUAUUAUGAGAGCCUCAUUGUUGAAUCAAAUCAAGGAAUUACAGAAUUCUGAUGAUGAGUUGAAAUGGGAAGUUCAAAAGUUGCGAGAUGGAGAAACUAAUGAGUUCAAACUUGGUGAUGAUGGUAUCUUGAUGCUUGGAGACGGAGUUUGUGUCCCUAAAGAUGAUCAGCUGAGACAGGCUAUUUUGGAGGAAGCUCAUUCUUCUGCCUAUGCUUUACAUCCCGGAAGCACCAAAAUGUAUAGGACUAUCAAGGAAAGUUACUGGUGGCCGGGUAUGAAAUGAGACAUACCAGAGUUUGUAGCAAAAUGUCUUACAUGCCAACAAAUUAAGGCAGAACAUUAGAAACCAUCGAGUACUCUUCAGCCUAUACCUAUCCUUGAAUGGAAGUGGGAGCACGUGACGAUGGACUUUGUAUUGGGUUUAUCGCGGACGCAGAGUGGGAAGGAUGCUAUUUGGGUGAUUGUGGAUAGAUUGACUAAGUCUGCCCAUUUCUUGGCUAUCCAUAGCACGCAUUCCAUUGAAAAGCUAGCUAAGCUUUAUAUAGAUGACAUAGUAAGAUUGCAUGGAGUCCCAGUUUCUAUCAUGUCAGAUCGAGACCCCCGGUUCAUUUCUCAAUUCUGACCGAAAUUCCAGGAAGCUCUCGAAACUAAUUUAAGGUUUAGCACUACUUUUCAUCCACAGACAGAUGGUCAAUCUGAAAGGACCAUUUAAACUUUGGAGGAUAUGCUAAAGGCUUGUUUCAUUGACUUUACGGGGAGUUGGGAUAGACACUUGUCGUUGGUAGAGUUCGCAUAUAACAACAGUUUUAAGUCUAGUAUUGGGAUGGCACCAUACGAGGCUCUGUGUGAGAGAAAGUGUCGAACUCCACUCUACUGGGAUGAAGUGGGUGAAAGGAAAUUGUUUAAUGUAGAACUGAUUGAUCUGACUAAUGACAAGAUCAAGGUUAUUUGAGAAUGAUUAAAGAUAGCUCAAGACAGGUAGAAGAGUUACUUUGAUAGACGGAGAAAAGAUAUGAAAUUUGAAGUUGAUGAUAGAGUUUUUCUUAAGGUUUUUUCUUAGAAAGGUGUGAUUCGGUUCGUAAAGCGAGGAAAGCUCAAUCCAAGAUACAUUGGACCCUUUCGUAUUAUUGAAAGGAUUGGGCUAGUGGCAUAUAGACUAGAAUUACCCCCAGGGUUGGAUCGGAUUCACAAUGUCUUCCACGUCUCAAUGUUGAAGAAGUAUGUACUUGAUCCCUCUUAUAUCCUCGUGACACCUCCAAUUGAGUUAAAAGAAGAUUUGAAGUUUGAGGUGUAACCUGUAAGUAUUCUAGAUUGAAAAGAUCGAGUGUUGAGGAAUAAGAGCAUCCCAGUGGUUAAGGUGUUGUGGAAGAAUGCUUGGAUAGAGGAGAUGACGUGGGAAGUUGAGCACCAGAUAAGAAGCCAACACCCACAUCUUUUCUUUGAAUCCGGUAAGUGAAAUUUUGAGGUCAAAAUUUUAUUUUAAGGGGGGUAGUGUUGUCAAGCCCAACUCUAUAAUAUACUUGCCAUGUCAUUCAUGUACUUGAUAGCAUGUUUGCAUACUUGGAUGCCUCGAAAAAUCGUUAGAAGUCAAUAUCGUACCUAGUGGUACAAUUAAGUCGAUUAAAACCUUGAACUAGUUUGAAUAGAGAUUUUGGGAUGUAUUUAAGAGUUAUUGAACCUUAAAAUGUCUUAAUAUGGAGAUUCGGAGUUCGAGGAUUAAUUUAGAGUCAAAUUAGGAAUUUUCAUAACGUAGGGGCAAAAUGGGAAUGUUGGAUGAAAUUUUUGACCAAGUUUGACUAAUUCGAGCAUGAUUUGAAUUUGAGAAAUGAAAAAUUUUAAUUUCGACAUUUUUCCAAACAUAAGGGCAAAACAAUCAUUUUACGUGUCCAUGAGGACGUAAUUGGAAUUUUUAAAAUUUUACACCACCAUAACACUUGUUAAGCCCAUGAAUUUUACCUAUUAUUAUUUUAUACUUUGGAUAAUUAAGAGAUUACGUGUGGUGGUGAGAAAAUGCUUAAUUGUUAAGUUUUAACCAUGGACCAAUCACAUGGUGACACAUGUCAAGCUUUAAUAUUUUCAUAAUUUCCUUUAUAAACUCAACAUAAACUCUCCCAUUUCACUCUUCAUGGCNNNNNNNNNNNNNNNNNNNNNNNNNNNNNNNNNNNNNNNNNNNNNNNNNNNNNNNNNNNNNNNNNNNNNNNNNNNNNNNNNNNNNNNNNNNNNNNNNNNNNNNNNNNNNNNNNNNNNNNNNNNNNNNNNNNNNNNNNNNNNNNNNNNNNNNNNNNNNNNNNNNNNNNNNNNNNNNNNNNNNNNNNNNNNNNNNNNNNNNNNNNNNNNNNNNNNNNNNNNNNNNNNNNNNNNNNNNNNNNNNNNNNNNNNNNNNNNNNNNNNNNNNNNNNNNNNNNNNNNNNNNNNNNNNNNNNNNNNNNNNNNNNNNNNNNNNNNNNNNNNNNNNNNNNNNNNNNNNNNNNNNNNNNNNNNNNNNNNNNNNNNNNNNNNNNNNNNNNNNNNNNNNNNNNNNNNNNNNNNNNNNNNNNNNNNNNNNNNNNNNNNNNNNNNNNNNNNNNNNNNNNNNNNNNNNNNNNNNNNNNNNNNNNNNNNNNNNNNNNNNNNNNNNNNNNNNNNNNNNNNNNNNNNNNNNNNNNNNNNNNNNNNNNNNNNNNNNNNNNNNNNNNNNNNNNNNNNNNNNNNNNNNNNNNNNNNNNNNNNNNNNNNNNNNNNNNNNNNNNNNNNNNNNNNNNNNNNNNNNNNNNNNNNNNNNNNNNNNNNNNNNNNNNNNNNNNNNNNNNNNNNNNNNNNNNNNNNNNNNNNNNNNNNNNNNNNNNNNNNNNNNNNNNNNNNNNNNNNNNNNNNNNNNNNNNNNNNNNNNNNNNNNNNNNNNNNNNNNNNNNNNNNNNNNNNNNNNNNNNNNNNNNNNNNNNNNNNNNNNNNNNNNNNNNNNNNNNNNNNNNNNNNNNNNNNNNNNNNNNNNNNNNNNNNNNNNNNNNNNNNNNNNNNNNNNNNNNNNNNNNNNNNNNNNNNNNNNNNNNNNNNNNNNNNNNNNNNNNNNNNNNNNNNNNNNNNNNNNNNNNNNNNNNNNNNNNNNNNNNNNNNNNNNNNNNNNNNNNNNNNNNNNNNNNNNNNNNNNNNNNNNNNNNNNNNNNNNNNNNNNNNNNNNNNNNNNNNNNNNNNNNNNNNNNNNNNNNNNNNNNNNNNNNNNNNNNNNNNNNNNNNNNNNNNNNNNNNNNNNNNNNNNNNNNNNNNNNNNNNNNNNNNNNNGAGAGAUAUAUAUAUAUAUAUAUAUAUAUAUAUAUAUAUAUAUAUAUAUAUAUAUAUAUAGUUUGAAUUGAUGGCUUAUGACAAUGUGAUGGCAUGAAUGGCUGGAUUUAUGGUUUGUGGAUUAUAUAAACUGUUUUGCUUUACCUUGACAGGCUGGGUAAUAUUAUAUUAGCCAUGUCAUGCUGUCGAAAUUUUUAUUGAUUUAGUGGGUUAUUUGAUUAGCUUACUGUAGUGGGUGGGUUUCCGUGGACCAGCCUAUUAGAGGGGCACGGUAAACCCCAUUAUAUUUUACCUUAGUAUGAGAGACGCGGAGGGUAUCUCCUAAGGUAAGUUUAGAAUUCACUUCACGCCGAACCACCACGUGAGGAUGAAACUCAGCCAACGCCAAAGAAUGACUAUAUUUUAAAAGUAAAAAUAUUUUAUAGGUAUAUGUUGUUUUAACAUCCUUGGCAGACUCGGUUGGAUGUCCGGGCCAAGGUGUCCCCGAGUAUGAGUUUUGGCACAGGCCAAGUUUUAAAGAGAAUCAUAAGCCUUGUUGAUUAUUUUGAUGAAAUGUAAUUGUUUUAUAUGAAUUGAAAUGAGUUUUGGAAUGUUAUGAAUUAUAUUAUGAUGGGAUGAUUUAACUGUCUCCAUUUACUCGGCUUUAGAUGUUAUAGAUGAACUUUGUCUACUCACUGGGUUUAUAAAAACUCACCCAUUCUUUUUACCCAUUUUAGGCUCAAGACAGUUUGUAGACAGUCGAUUUUGUCGAGGGUUGCUUUUGGAUUUGCAUCCUUAGAAAUCGAAGGUCUACAGUCUUGUAUAUUUUCGGUUAUAUUGAGGCCCACAUGUCAUUGUAGAAUAUUUUUGUAUACCUGGUUUAGUGUGCUAUUAUAUAUAUGAAUUUAUUUUACUCUUACACUACAAAAAUUGCUUAUGCAAGAUUCUAUAAAUAUUGUUUUAUAAGAAAAUAGAAUAUUUUAUUUAAUAUUUUUAUUUAGUUUGAUUAGCCAUAAUUUCAUUUUAAAUGAAUGAUUUAGAUUAAUAAAAUUAUUUUUAGAUAAGAAAUGUAUAUUUUUCGAUCGUAUGCUGUAUUUUCACCAGGUUUCAAAAUUUUCGAGUAAAAAUAACCAAAAUACCCCUGUGUGGCAAAAAUUACUUUUUGUUUGUUUUUGAUUUAAAAAUAGUUUAUAUUCUCUUAAAACAUGAUAUUUAGUAACUGUUGCUCACAAGGGAGACAUAAAAUUGAUGCAAGAGCCUUGCGAGGUUUGGUUAACAUUUCGGGUAAUGAAUGUCUAUCGAGACAUCGCGACGGUUGUCACCGGCUCGAAGGGAGUACCGAGUCUGACAUUGUCACUAAUAAGGCGACAACCUAUGAAACCACUUUGGUUUUUCGAUAUUAGCAUUGGCAAAAUCUUAGCAUGAGGGUUAGCUAGAAGCUUGGUAAUUAUUUUGUUAAGAACAGUGCAUAAGCUCAUUGGCCAAAAGUCAUCCCAUUUAAAAGUAUUGCUUAAGUUGGGUAAUAACACUAAGGUUAUGGAAGUGACUCCCUUGGGCAUUGCCACUCCAUGGAAAAAAUCCAAGACCGCAUGAAAGAGACCAAGCGCUAUUAUAUCCCAGCAAAGCUUAUAGAAAUAAGAAGAAAAGCCAUCCGGUCUAGCAACACUAUUCUUGUCAAUUAAAAAAAUAGCUUUUUUCACCUUUUGCAUGGUAGGUUCUGCAUAUAGAUUCUCAUUAUCAAUUUCAGAUAAAGUGGUUGAAAUUAAUGAGGAAUUAAACCUGGACAAAUCUAUGGGUUCAGUUGUCAAAAGAGAGGAAAAAAAGGCCACUGCUAAUGAUUGGAUCAUAGCCUGAUCUUUAAUGAAGCUACCAUCACUGUUUUGAAUUUUAAAAAUAUGUUUUUACUCCCUUUUCUUUUGCAUCCGCAUGUGCAAGAACUUAGUAUUUCUUUCACCCUCCACCAACCAUUUCACACCAAAUAUUUGUUGCUAGAAAGCCUCCUCAACACUUAACACAUGAUUGAGAUUAGCAUCAGCAUUAUGCAUGGCCUCUUUAUUAACUGAAGUUGGAUCCUGUUGAAAAACAUUUUCACAAUAAUCUGCAUGUUUUUCAACUGCCUUUAGAUUACUAAAUAUAUCACCAAAAACAAACUUAUUCCACCAUUAAGAUGCUAUUUCAAUCGUUUCUAUUUGCCACAAAAUGCUUGCAAACCCGUACCCUAGAUAGGGAGUCGCCAAUUGCUUUCAAUUGCAAACAAAAAAUCAUGAUGUUUAGCCCAGACAUGUUGAACCAAAAGGAAAAAGGACCAUGUUGUGAAGCCAUAAAACAAGAAAUAAGCAAACGGCUAUUGUCUGAACCAUCCCUGUUAAGAUGUUGAAUUCUAACGGAUGAGCAAGAGUCUAUCCAUUGGUAAUUAUAUAACACCCGAUCAAGCCUUUGGUACAUGUGGUGAUUUGCCCAUGUAAAGGGAGAGCUUUCAAAACCUCCAUCAAGCAAACCACAAUCCAAAAAAGCUGUAGCAAAAUCCUCCAUGGAACCCUAAAUGUGGAGCAGCCCCACAAAGCCUUUCUUUUCUGUUUAGGAUCACAUUAAAAUCGCCUCCAACCACCCAAAGACAAUCUAUAUGAGUAGACAUAUUUCCAAGGCAAUCACACAAAUCAUGCCUCUCAGAUCGUGUAUGUUUAGCAUAUACAAAAGAAGCAGAAAUAGGGAAAGCCAACCAAGGAAAAGAAAGUCGUGCAUGUAAGCAUUGAGUAUGAUUAACUAUUAGUUCACAAGAGACUUCAUGGGACCAAAACAACCAUAUUUUAUUAAAACAAUUUAUCAUCGCUCCUUCAAAACCCAAUCUUUUCCUAAAGAAUUCUAUUUUAAUAGACUUAACCAUAGGUUCUAACACCACCAACACCUUCACCUUAUGCAUUAGCUGCAGUUUUUUAAUUCUUCUAAUGAUCACACUACUGAAGAUCCCCCUCACAUUCUAGAUGAGUGCACCUAUCAUGUAUAGGUUUGAGCGGGUAAACAUCCAGAGAUGGAAUUCAAAUCACUAACCCCAUAUUUUCCCCUAUUUUCUCCAUUCGAGGAUCCAUAUUUACUCAAAUCAAUUUGAGACUUACUCCUCUGAGAAAUGUUGAAUGUAAUGCUUGCAAGUGUCUAAGUAAAAAGAGUGACACAUUUUUUCAUUACUUAAAUGCUAUGCAGGAAGUUGUUUUGUUAGGUUGUACAAAGAACACCAUACGUGGUGUUAUGCAUGUACCUUGUAAAUGAUGUUUUACACUUGUGUUGCAUAGUUUAACAAGUGUUAAUGAUGUUUUCCAUGUGCAUGUAAACUGUCCUGUAAAUAUUUAUAGUGAAAACAAUGAAAUGUGGUGUGUUCUAAUGGUUUUUAUGCAAUCUCUGUUUCAUGAACAAAAUAGAGGCUAAUACCAGUAGCCUAUAUCCUUGUUUGACUGCAAUCUCAACAUGGUCUCAGAGCAUAAUUAAGCUCUUAAGGGACCGCAUAGACAGUUGAAUCCAAGAAACUCUUUCUCUGAAAUAAACCACACACUCACUUGAAAAACUAUGGCAUCUCCCUCUCCAUCAAAUAUUGCAUUUAGCUUUCAAUCACCUCCAAUGUUCAAUGAAGAAAAUUAUCCAAUCUGGUCUAAGAAAAUGGAGUCAUAUCUUAAGGGUCUGGACCUUUAGGAUGCUGUUGAAUUAGGAGCUAAAGUUCCAGCUAUAAAAUAUAAUGCAACCCCUGCUCAAGUUAAGCAGCACCACAAGGAUGUGGCUAAACGAUUUCGAGCCUUGUGUUACAUCUAAAAGGCUCUUACAGAUGUUAUGUUUGUAAGAAUUAUGGGGUGUAAGACUGCCAAAGAUGCUUGGGAAAGUUGAAAGUUCAUUUUAAAGGUUCUGAAAGAACUAAAGAAAUGUAGAUUAUGAACUUGACCAGGGAAUUUGAUACAAUGAGAAUGAAGGAUUCUAAGAAUGCAAAAGACUUCAUCAGCAGACUUAUGAGAGUUGUUAAUCAACUCAGACUCUCGGGAGAGAAUAUUUCAAAAAGAAAAGUUGUUCAAAAGGCCCUUGUAUCUCUACCGAAAAGAUUUGAAGCUACGGUUGCUUCUCUAGAAGGGAAUUCUCCAAAAUGUCACUAUCAGAUGUAACAUAUGCUCUUCAAGCUGCUGAACACAGGAGAGUCAUUAGAAGUGAUAGUGCAAUUGAAAAUGUCUUAUUUGCUAGAAUGAAAGGAAAGAUAGUGGGAGAGACAAGCACAAAAAAAGGUUCGAUUGAACAGGAAGAGAAAGAUAAAGGGGUUCAAUCUGUAUAUAGAAAUCAACAAAAGAAAGGCAAGGCUCAUAUAUGUUCUCACUGCAAGAGAAAGGGUCAUGCUGAGGCUAGCUGUCACGACCUAAAUUUUGGGCCAUGAUCGGCGCAUGGACUCAAUGGACGUAGUCCACUAAGCCCAAGCAAGCCUAUUAAUUUGACAUAUUCAUCAUUUCAUCAUAAACUGCUAAGUCAUAUAUCAUAACUUAGAAUCGAAAUAAUAUUGAACAUUGCCCCUCAUACUGGCAUACCAAACAAGUGUAUAUACACUAUCUACAACAUGUAUCUUAAUAAUUCACAUUAGGUUCGUUUAUACAUAACAAAAGAAGACUCGAUGUCCAGCGGAGAAACUUGACGAAUGUAUAGCUACUAAAUGCCGAGACACCUACCAAUAGUCGAGUCUACAAAGGUACCUCGACCUAGUUACCAGCUACCUCGUAAUCUGAAAACAUGAAGUUGAAAGCGGUGAGCAUAAACUCAAUGAGUGAACGAGAAAGGGAACAAGCAUACCAUAAGAAAUGUUUAACGAAAUCAUGAUGCAUUCAUUUUCUCAAAACAAUGCAAUUGUUUUGGCUCUUUUAAACCCCUCAUGCAAACCCCACAUGAGUAAAUCACUUUACAAAUAUCCAUGCUCAACUAUGGUACCAAAGAAAUGGGAAAUAUGGCAAAAACCCACAAGUUAGCAAAAUGGAUAGAAAGUUUCUCGCUGCAGCGAGAACCAGGUCUGGUGAAGGCCUUCAAACCCGAGAGUUUCUCGCUGCAGCGAGGAUCAGAACAUCAAGGAAAAAGUCUCAUUUUCCCUUAAAACAAGCCAUCUUGUUAAAAUAACAAUAGCAACAUGUAACACAUGUAAACUCCCAAAUUUCAACAAAUCAAAUGCUCACAUAUUUGCAUUUACAACCAUAUACCCAUUAUCAUCAUGCACACCAUCCCAUCAUCAUCAUCAUGCACACCAUCCCAUCAUCAUCAUUCCUAGCUCAUGGGCACUCCCUACUCGCACAUGGUUAGGUCAUCACCGGGUUAUGCGCACUUCCUACUCGCACAUAACUGAGUCAUCAUCGGGUUAUGUGCACUCCCUACUCACACAUAACAGGGUCAUCAUCGGCUUAUGCGCACUCUCUACUCACACAUAGCCGAGUCAAUAUCAUUACACAACAAUGUAUUCAUAUAUAUAUAUAUAUCAACACAAUGUGGUAGUGCAUGAAUCAAUAAUAGUCACAUGUCACAACAUGAAGACAAUCUACCAAAAGCUUGUUCCCAAGGCACUUGUUUCUAUGAAAAGCUGGAUAAUCCAUUAAAAUGUUUGACAAAUACAUUAUAUCCCCAAAACAAGUUUUUGAAAUGCAAGUCCACUCACCAGUAUUAGGAGUAGAAAUACUCCUAUUUUCAGUUCGCGGGUAUAGUCCUUUACCCGUAUCCAAUGGCUCACCACCUAGCCAUAAUCCAUGACACAUAUUCCAAUUAAAUUAUGUCUAACAGUCAUAAGCUAUUUCAGGCUCAAUAUAUAUAUGAUAUGAAAUUAAAAAUGCACAAGUAGCCAUCUAGACCCGGUAUUGGCCUAAGUCAAUUUUUCAUCCGAUAAAUUGGCCAAUGAGUCCAAUUUCACUCCAACUUGCUCCAUUUCUUUUCCAAUCCCUCAAUUCACCAAGCACAAACUAAUUAACACACAAUUAGGCAAAAUUUAUCUUCAUUUUUCUUCUUGGAACUUUCGGCCAACAAUGGUACACCAACUCCGUGAUUUUUCCUACUUAAUUUCCUCACCAUUAUUCAUUAAUUCCUACACCAAAAACUAUUAUUUCUUAAUCAAAUCACCUAGAAUAACAUCCCAUUCUUCCUCAUUAUUCACUUAGAGAAUUCGGCUAUUGAUGGGCACCAAACCUUUGGUGGUUUUCUUCACUUGUUUUCAUGCUACACAUCAUUAAUCACCUAAAAACACUAACAUACCUAAAAAUCAAACCAAUCCAAGAUCAUUCUCUCUCCAUACCCAUUUUGACCAGCNNNNNNNNNNNNNNNNNNNNNNNNNNNNNNNNNNNNNNNNNNNNNNNNNNNNNNNNNNNNNNNNNNNNNNNNNNNNNNNNNNNNNNNNNNNNNNNNNNNNNNNNNNNNNNNNNNNNNNNNNNNNNNNNNNNNNNNNNNNNNNNNNNNNNNNNNNNNNNNNNNNNNNNNNNNNNNNNNNNNNNNNNNNNNNNNNNNNNNNNNNNNNNNNNNNNNNNNNNNNNNNNNNNNNNNNNNNNNNNNNNNNNNNNNNNNNNNNNNNNNNNNNNNNNNNNNNNNNNNNNNNNNNNNNNNNNNNNNNNNNNNNNNNNNNUGUAAUACGUAUCCAUUAAGCAAUCUCUCUCCACCACAUAAAAUGUUUCAAUUAUCCACAAUGUAAAAUGUUAAUGGCUGAAAUCCAUGGGCAUGACAAGUGUCAGGUGGUGUAAAAUUCCAAAAAUUUCCAUUUUGUCCUUGGGUGACAAAAUUACCAUUUUGCCCCUAGAACAUGAAAAUCAUCAAAAUUUUUAUUUCCUUGUCAUUUCACCCAUAUUUUCAUCAUUCAUUUAUGCUUUAGGCCUACUUAAGCCAUAAUAUUGUUUAAAACUUACUUUUAUGGGCUUAUUGAGAAAAUGACAAAAUUACCCCUAUUUAGGGAUAUCGCGUAUAUUUCUAUCUAUGAGUCUAUAAAGGUCAAGGUCUCACACUAGCUGUUGGUUUAGACCAAAUGUGAGGUGCAGAAACUGUAACCAAUUAAGGCAUGUACAAAGAGUUUGCAAGAACAAAGUCGAGACUCAAGUCAAGGCUGAUGAACUAGUUGAGAAGCUGAAACAACUUAAGAGCAUUUGUUUAUGGCUCAAACUAGAAAUUUAAAAACUGUUGAUGCAAACCUUUGGCUUCUAAAUAGUGGAGCUUCAAAUAACAUGACUCCAAAUGUGAAGCUAUUUGUUGAAAUAGAUGAUCAAUACCGUUCAAAAGUUGAGAUUGGGAACGGUGUUUAUUUGCAAGCAACAAGAAAAGAGUUAGUACCAAUUCAAACUUCCUCUGGUGCCAGGUAUGAGUUUGAAGUUCUCUUAGUGCUAGAAAUCACUAAAAACCUAUUAAGUGUAGGAUAAAUGCUUAAGCAUAAUUAUGUCUUUUUGCUUAAAAAUAUGUCUUGCACUAUUUAUGCUCCUAAUGGUGAUUAUAUGAUGAACAUCUCUAUGAAACAAAAUUGUUUCCCAGUGAACUGGAAAUAUGCAUGUUUGCAAGCAACAGAAGUUCAUUCAAAUUUGACUUCUCUGUGGCACAAGAGAUUUGGUCACUGUAAUUAUAAUUCAUUGAUACAGUUGAGUAAUUCAGGUCUUGCAAAUAACCUUCCCAAAUUAUCAGAAUGUGGCCCUAUUUGCCAAACUUGUCAACUUGGAAAAAUAGCUCAAAAGCCUUAUCCCACUACCAGUUUUAGCAAAUCAAAGGAUACGUUUAAUCUUAUUCAUUCAGAUGUUGGAGGUCUUCUAAGUGAAGAGUCAUUAAAUGGGAGCAGGCACUUUGUUACAUUUAUAGAUGAUCUGACCAGGUUCUGCUGAAUAUUCUUUAUGAAACAAAAGUUAGAAACUUUAAGUUGGUUCCAGAAAUGUAAAGCUCGAGCUGAGUUAAAGUUUGGUAUGAGGAUCAAGGUACUCAGAUCAGAUAAUGGUGGUGAGUACACAUCUCAAUAAUUUUCUCAAUUUUUAGAGAAGGAAGGGAUCUUUCACCAGCUAACAGCUCCAUAUUGCCCUAACAAAAUGGGGUAAGUGAAAGGAAAAAUCACACAGUACUUGAGAUGUGUAGGUGCCUGAUGCUUGAGAAAAAUAUGCCCAAAAGAUUUUGGGCAGAAGCAGCCUCGACAACAGUGUACUUGCUCAAUAUUAUUCCUACUCAAGCAAAGCAAAAUAUCACCCUAUAUAAAGCAUGGUAUGGGACCAGGCCUUCUGUAGAUCAUUUGUGAGUGUUUGGAAGUCUUUGUUAUCAACAUAUACCUGAGGAACAGAGAGAUAAACUUUAAUCAAAGGCUCAGAUUGGGGUUCUGAUUGGAUACAGCUUGAAGUCCAAAGCAUAUAAAAUAUUUCAGGUUAAAUCUGGUAGAAUUUCUAUAAUUAGGAAUGUUGUAUUUGAUGAGAAUAGAAGCUGGAAUUGGGAGCAAAGCCAAGCUACAGAUUUGAAUGAAUUUAUUGAUGUAUUAAACUAUCAACAUACUAAUUCUCAAAUUCUUGUUGGCGAUGAAAUAGUUGAUAAAGCUCUAGUUAGAGGAGUAAGGUCUAUUCAAAACAUUUAUGAGAGAUGUCAUAUGGCUAUCACAGAACCUAACUCUUAUGAAGAUACUGCAGUUCAUGAGCAUUGGGUUACAACUAUGAAGGAAGAACUGAAUAUGAUAUUCAAAAACAAAACUUGGUCUUUAGUGGAUAGGCCUAAAAAUCGACAAGUAAUUGGGGUCAAGUGGAUUUUUGAAAAAAGCUCAAUUCUAAUGGCACCUUAAAUAGGUACAAGGCAAGAUUAGUAGUAAAGGGCUAUUUUCAAAUACUUGGUAUUGAUUUCUAGGAAACUUUUGCACCAGUUGCUCGAUUGGAUACUAUUCGAUUGCUUAUAGCUUUGGCUGCUGCAUUCCAGUGGAAACUUUUUCACUUGGAUGUUAAAUCAACAUUUUUAAAUGGGAAGCUUGAUUAAGAAAUUUAUGUGGAGCAACCACUAGGAUUUGAACUCUGUUCUGGACAAGGAAAGGUGUACAGACUUCACAAGGCUCUUUAUGGAUUGAAACAAGGACCUCGUGCUUGGUAUAUGUCAUGACCCGGUACUCCCCUCAAGCUCGUGACAACCACCGUGGUGUCUCAAUAGACACUCAUCACUCGGAAUGCCAACCGGAACCCCGCAAGGCUUUAAUUUCAGUUUAUCAUUCCCCUUGUGAGUAAUCGUUGCUAAAUAUCAUGUUCUAAAAGAUUUUAAGUUAUUUCUAACUUAAAACAAUAAAAAAAUGAUUUCUGUCUCACAAGGGCAUUUUGGUCAUUUUCCAUGAAAAUUUCAAAAUCCGCUAAAAAUGUAGUAUGCAAGUACAAAACACAUAAUUCAUAAUAAAAAAUAAGUUUAAAUAUCUAAAACCUUCAUUUAAAAUGAAAUUAUAAUUAUUUGAAGAUAAUAAAAUAAAACAAAAGAAAUAUUUAAUAAAAUAUUUUAUUUUCUUAUAAAACAGUAUUUUUAGAGUUACACGUAAAUAAUUUUUGCAGCGUAAAAGCAAAAUAAAUUCAUACAUACUGUAAUACAGUAAGACAUAGUAUUUAAUUUAAUUUACAAUAACCAGUGAGCCCCCGAAUAACCAAAAGUAAGGGAGACUGUGAACCUACAGUUUGGAGGAUGCAAAUCCGAUAGUAGCCUCGAUGAAAUUAGCUAUCUAAAGCCUAUUCUGAGCCUGAAAUUAGUGGAAAGGAGGGUGGUGAGAUUAUACAAUCUUAUUGAGUAAACAAACAUUAUCUAAAAUAUCUAAAGUCGAGUAAAUAGAGACGAUUAAAAUAUUCCAUCUCAAUAUGUAUUUCAUAACAUAAAUAUUCAUUUCAUUUAAAUAAUCAACAUGGCUUAUGAGUAUCUUAAACACUUAGCUCCUGCCAAAAUUAUUCUCGAGAAUACCUUGGCCGAGGCAUUUAACCGAGUCCGCCAAGGUUGUUAAAAGUUAUAUACGCAUAAAUCAUGUUUUUAUUUUGAAAAACACGAUCGUUCCUUGGCGUUAGCGGAGUUCAUCAUCACGAGGUGGUUCGGCGUGACGUGAACUCUAGCCAUACCUCAGGAGAUACCUUACGCGCCUCUCCGACCGAGGUACAUGUAUAAUCGGAUUUCGUGAUCCUCUAAUAGGCUGGUCCACAGAACUCGCCCGCUGUAGCAAGCUAAACCCAUCAUACAAUAAAAAUUCAACAGCAUGACAUGGCAAUUUUAUCAUUAUCUAGCCUAUCAAGGCAGACAACAGUUUAUACAUUUCAACACAAAUACCAAUUCAGUCAUUCAUGCCAAUAUUGUCAUAAGCCAAUCAAUUAGAACCAUGAAUUCACAAUACAUCAAAUGGUCUCCAAUUACUCUAUUUGCAAAGCCAUCAUUCAAUUUCAAGACAAUUUAUAAAAUCAUUUUAUUUAAACACAUUUUGUUUAUAAAACCUAAAAAUUAACCAUUUAACUCAUUUUCCAUAAAUUCACAAAAUCGAAUAAAAAAACCACUUUAGAUAAAUAAAAUGAUGAUAAGGUUACUCACUAUUUCAGAAGUCAAAUUUUUAGAAUACUCCGACUAUCAAACUUCGGGUACAAUUUCUUUGCCUUUAUCGGAGGAUUCACCACCUAGACAUAAUGUACAAUCAAGCAAUUUACCACAUUGGUGCUAAAUCGUUAUAAAACUAUAUGGAUGCAUGAAAUGGAAUGCAAAUUGUUCAGAUUAUCAUCCAAACACGGUGUUCUACACAAAUUCAAUUGUGUACCUAAAUAAAACGGUAUUAGCCUAAUUCGAUCUAUCACUCGAUUAAAUGGCCAAUAUGUCCAAUUCAACUCCAAUUAACUCCAUUUUUCUUCCAAUUCUCCAAACCAUCAAACACAAGUCAAAUAACAUAAAAUUUAGCAAAAUUAUCUUUACAUUUUCUUUUGGAAAUUUCGGCCAUGGUGAGUGCAUCAACACUAUGAUUUUUCCUACUCGAUUUUCUCACCAUAAUUCAUCAUUUCCUUAUCAAUUCACUUGAAAUAAAAUCAAAAUCAUCAUCAAUAUUCCACAUGGAAAAUUCGGCCAAUGAUGGGUGAUGGGAGAAAAUGAAUUUUUCUUGUUAGUUUUUCAUGUUACACAUCAUUAACUACCUAAAAACACUAAAAUAUCUUAAAAUCUAACCAAAUCAAGCAUCAAAACUCCUCCCCCCAUGUCCGGCCAGCAAGAGACCCAUCAUGAAACCAUGUGAUUCAACCAUGGAAAAUGCAAAAUAAUGCAUAGGAAAGGUAGAUCACAAGCUAGAAUUAAAAAAUCUUACCUUUUUUUCACUUGUUUCCUUGAAUUUUCACUCUUCCCUUGAAUUUUUCCACCUAGGGUUUUUGUUCUUCCUUUGUUCUUGUUUUGGCCAGCCAUAUGAAGAGAAAUAGGCUGAUUUUAUGUUAAUUUAUAAGAAAAAUAUUAAAUGGAUGAGAAUUUGACAUAUGUCACCAUUCCAUUGGUCCAUGUGUCAUUCUUAUUCAUUAAGCAAUCUCUCUCCACCAUAUAAAUUUUCUCAAUUAUCCAUGAUAAUAUUGGGUAAAAUCCAUGUGCUAGACAAGUGUUGGGUGGUGUAAAAUUACAAUUGGCCCCUAGGGAGGCAAAAUGACUAUUUUACCCCUAUGCUCAAAAAAAUGUCAGAAUUAAAAUUUUUCACUUCUUAAACUCAAAUUAUGUUCUAAAUAGUCAAUCUUAGUCAAAAAUUUCAUCCAACACUCACAUCUUAACCUCGGGUGGCAAAAUGACCAUUUUGCCCCUAGGUCAUGAAAAUUCCAAUUUGACUCCAAAUCGAUCCUCGAACUCUGAAUCACCAUUUUAAGUCAUUUUGGGGUUUUAAAAUUCUCAAUUUCAUCUUAAAAUCUCUAUUUAGUCUAGUUCGAGGCUUAAUUCAACUUAGUUGCACCACUAGGUACACUAUCGACUUUUGACGAUUUUUCAGGGCUUUCCAAGUAUGCAAGCAUAUUGUCAAUCACAUGAAUGACAUGGCAAGUAUUUUAUAAGGUCUGGCUUGACAGUAUAGCAGGAUUAACACUUACCUGCUUGAUCAAGGAUUCCAAAAGAGUCCUAAUGAAGUAACUCUUUAUGUGUUAAAACACAACAAUAAGGCUCCACUAAUCGUAUCCUUCUCAAUAUAGAAGUCUUAUUGGUUGUCUUUUGUACCUAUGUGCAACAAGGCUUGAUGUUAUGUUUGUUGUCAGCUAUUUAUAUCGUUUUAUGCAAAAACCAAGAAACUGUCAUUUUGUUGCUGCAAAAAGAAUACUCAGGUACUUAAAAGGUACAACAUCUUAUGGUUUAAAGUUCACUCAUACAAAGACUGUUAAACUAUCAGGAUUUUCUGAUAGUGACUGGGCUGGAUCUCUAGAUGAUGCAAAGAGCACUUCCGGGUAUGUAUUCACUCUUGGAAAUGGCAUGUUUUCUUGGAGCUCCCACAAGCAAGACACGGUUGCUCAAUCUUUAGUAGAAGUUGAGUAUGUGGUUGCAGCUUCAGCAGCAAAUCGUGCAUAUUGGGUGAGGAAGGUUCUUCAUGAUCUCACUAUGCCUCAACUUGAAGCUAUUGAUUUGUGGCUUGAUAAUAAAUCUGCUAUAGCUAUGGCCAAAAACCCUGUCUUCCAUGGAAAAACUAAACAUAUCAGUGUGAAAUAUCAUGCUUUAAGGGAUGCUGAAAAGAAGGGUGAAAUUUGCAUCCAAUACUGUCCUUUUGAAGAUCAACUUGCUGAUAUAAUGACUAAAGCACUCAGGAAGCCAAUGUUUGAGUUUCAAAGAAACAAAUUAAUGGUUCAUCAAGCAAGCAUUAAGGGGGAAUGUUGAACGUAAUGCUUGCAAGUGUCUAAGUAAAGAGAGUGACACGUUUUUUCAUUACUUAAAUGUUGUGCAAGUAGUUGUUUUGUUGUGCUGUACAAAGAACACCAUACGUGGUGUUAUGCAUGUACCUUGUAAAUGAUGUUUUACACUUGUGUUGCUUAGUUUAACAAGUGUUAAUGUGUUUUCCAUGUGCAUGUAAACUGUCCUGUAAAUGUUUAUAGUGAAAACAAUGAAAUGUUGUGUGUUCUGAUGGUUUUUAUGCAAUCCCUAUUUCAUGAACAAAACAAAGGCUAAUAUCAGUAUCCUAUAUCCUUAUUUGACUGUAAUCUCAACAAGAAAAAGAAGGAUGAACUUCAAUGUCUUCACUACCAACAAUUGCACCAAAAGGGACACUAAUAUGUUCUUUAAUAACAGAACAUGCACCCUGUUCUUCCACCAUUUUUGAAUCCUCUUCAAUGCUGAUAUUGUAUGCAAUACUGGCCACCAGUCCAUAUGAGGUCCUAGGAGAGAUAUUUGUACCAUAAGCAUCUGGUCUCAUUUGCAUCUUAAGAGCAACAUCACCUCUUAGAGCUUUUCCAAGCGCUGGCUUCGAUCGAAGAAUGGGUGAACACUCAUCACUACUCUCUACAAUUUUUACUGCCCCAGUUUCAAGCGGAUCCCUCGUCCCUAGUUUUUCUACUCAUGGGUUUGGCUAUGAAUGGCAUGCUUAAAAUAUGCAGCAGAAAGAAAAUUAAAAACUUUAUAACUAAACAACAAAACAUGCCUCCACCCAUGGAUCACCUUGGUGAUAUUUAACACAUAAAAGCACAAAAUAAAUUAUUGUUUAGAAAGUUACCUUACCAUGUAAUUUCGUAAUCACAAUGGCACUUUCCGAAGCAAUCCCAUGAACACCACAAGGAGCAAAAAACCUAGCCAAUCAAGUACUUGGCUUCCAAUGGUAAUACACACGAUUGCACUUGAACCUUCAAUAAAGGAAGGAGUUUUUCACUAUAGUUGGUGCUAGCAAAGAGGACAACAAUUGUUCUUUUCUUCUUUUUCACAAUCUUAGCCGAACCUUUCUCGAAAAUUGCUUCAUAAGCAAUUUUCUCUUUCACACAAAGGGAGUGGUGGCAAAGAAAAAAAACAUUUUUCUUUUUCUGACACAAACUACAUUUUCUUCAAUUGUGAAAAACUCUCAUAUGUAAAAUAGUUAAAAGGUGACUUAUAUAAUUAGGUUAAAAUAACUUCAAUUUUGCAAUUAAGCCCUCAAUAUUAUAACACAUUAUAAUAUUGGACAUAUUACUUAAUUAAACUCUUUAAUUAAGUCCUUGGAAAUUAAAAUCAAAAUUAAUUUCCUUUAUAUUUUGUAAUCAAGGCCUUAUAGUUAUAACUAUUUAUAAUUAUGUCAAAAACUUAAUUAAACUCUUUUAAUUGAGUUUAUAGAAGUUAAUUAUCUAGCAUGUGAUUUAAGUCUAACUUAAAUCGACACUCUCUCAAUUUAAUUUAAAUGCAAUCAUCGUGUGUGACCCAUUAGGUUCCCAACAUGUUGGCAAUGGANUUAAUUAAGUCCAUAUUAAAAAUUCUUAAUUUCUAACUAAAUACUAGUCUUAUUUUAAUUCACAUUGUCAUCUUAUUAUGUGCCAUUAGGUCCCCCAACAUGUUGUUAAUAAAUAUAAAUCAAUUCAAUGAAAAUUUUAUUUUUAUAUUUAUAGAUUAUGAGUGACAUCUAGCAAUAUAUCAUGACCACCCAAAUGUCAAGAGAGUCAAUAUAAUUUGACUAAUCUUUCAGUGUAUAGUAUCUCAGUGUAAUUCGAUCCUUUCAUCAUAUAUCCGGAAUAGAUAAAAAGCCUCUCAGUGUCUACUUUUUAACUUAUCUAUAUUAGUCCUGCAGCUUCCAUAUUGACUUAUCAAGAUUGCCUUGGCCAAGGACUUUUAGUUAAUAUAAGUCAAGAGCAAAUGAGAUAUGUCCCUUUUAAAUCACUUAAGGUGAUAAAUCAUCUCUAUACUACUUAUUCAUCUUCAGAUGCUUCAAGCCAUACCCAAAAGCACACUGUUUAGGCAUCUAGUCACCUCUAGACUUGUAUGGGUGAAAUCAAAACAUGACAAUUCACAUACAGGAUGACUUAGUAUCACAAAUCUAAGGAUUACUUACACUAUUGACACAUGAAAGUAUUUUCAUAGACAAUUGAGUGAAAUACUAAAUGGAACUGUCAUAACAAGUCAUGUUCAGUGAACUUGUUUCCUAACAAGCACUCACAUACUAUCUUCAAGUAUCUCACAUAUUUCAACCUAUGAGAUAUGUUGCUUACUUUCAAAGUAAAGAAUAUAGAAUAUACUAGUUUUUAAGCAUCAUUGAUGUCCAAUCUUAAUGAUACAUUGACCAAGAACAUUUGAGAUUAUGCUUUGAUGCAUAAGGAUCUCAUAACUGCAACUUGUUACAGUUUCCUUGCAAGGCAUAUAAAUCUCAUGGACUUCAUCCAAUUAGACUUAUAACUCAUUAUAAUUAAUGUCUUAUUGAUGAAGCAAAACCUUUAAUCAUUCAACAUGAAUGAUGUUUUUGCAUGAUUGGAAUCAAGCCUCAACCAAUCCCAAUUGGCUGCAGGGUUCAUCCUAACAUCUACAUCAUGGCUUUUUACUGUAGGUUUUUUUUGCUUCUUUUUUUUCUUCCUCAUCGUGACGUUGCAUGCAUUCUCUACUGCUCAUUGGACGAAAUCAUGCUCCCCAAUAUUUUUUGCAGCAUCAAAUGAACCACGUUCAGCACAUGCAUGGGUGGACCCUCGGUGAGAAAACACUGCGACUAGAGACGUCGCCACAACAUUUGCACUUUGAGUCCCUUUCGAACCAUUUCCAAUCCAAGGCAUAUGAUCUUCCAUAUAUUGUUGUUCGUUUUGUUUGUUAUUCUGAACAAACUUCCAAGCUGGUAAGCCACUGACCAAAUACCAAUUUUGUGUACCAGUUUUCGAUUUACAUGUGCCCUCUGAAAGUAGUUGUUUGUUGUUAAAAUCCCCAACAGCAUCAACCCUCUUCAAGUAUUUUUUUUCUAUUAAGCAAUCACUGUUCACCCUCUCUAUUCGCCUCUGUUCCACGUUUUCAAUUAGUUCUUCAUCAACCUCAAACCCGAUUGCUACAAAUUUGUUAGAACUCCAAACCUGUAGAUCACUCAAGCUUUCUGAAUCUAUUUCCACCCUUUUGGAAUUCUUAGCACCGUUUUUCCCCAAGUUGUCCACUACUUGCCAUCGCAUACUUUGUUUCGUUGGUUCCUCCCAACUAAAGUUUUUUCUUUUAGAAGAUCUUUUCCUCCUCACUUUAGGGUGGUUUUCUCCUUCUUUUCGAAAGCCUUUGUAUUUUUAGAUUACUUGGAAAUGCCCAAUGGUUUCGGCUCUCCAUAUCUCAGUUUGUCUAGCUUAUUUCUUAAAACCAAACACGUUGAGAUACUGUGCUCUACAUGACAACAAUGAGUGCAGUAGGCUGGCAAUUUUGAGAACUCCACACGUUGUGAAUAACCACCAAUAAUGGCUCUUUUUUGUAUGUUCUUACUAACAACCCAUUAAAUGGCCCAUACUUUGAAACAGUGAUUAAUAAAGUUGAUCGGAUGCAAAUUGAGGUCAAUUAAAAUGUUUAAAAGUGAUAAAAGAUGAAAGGAAUAAUUUAUGAUAAAAUAUUCCGCAUGCGAGUAAAUAAUAAUAUUUUAUUAGAGGAGAAUUUGAGAGAUAAAAGGGUGAUUCGGAGGUCAAUUGAGGUAUAAUAAGGAACUUUGGCAACCAAGGAGACAAGAUAAAAUUUUUAGAAUAAAAUAAUAUUUUAUUAAUAAAAUAAUAUUAAAAUAUUAAUAUUUAAUCGGGUGUCGAAAUCAGUCAUGAAGAAGGAUCAUAUGGUUGAUCUAAGUAGGGGAGAAGAUGUCAAGCCUGACUCUAUAAAAUACUUGUCAUGACAUACAUGUGAUGGAUAGCAUGUUUGCAUGCUAUGAGAGUCCCGAAAAAUUUACAAAAGUCGGUAUUGUACCUAAAGGUACAACAAAGUUGAUUUAAGCCUCGAACUAGAUCAAAUAGAGAAUUUAAGAUGAAAUUAAGAAUAUUAAAGUCCUAGAAUGGUUUAAUAUGGUGAUUUGGAGUUUGAGGAUCAAUUUGGAGUCAAACCGAAAUUUUCACUAUCUAGGGGUAAAAUGGUCAUUUGCCACUUGGGGACAAAAUGAAAACUUUUAGAAAAGAUUUUUGGCCCUAUUUGACUUAUUGGAGUAUGAUUUGAGUAUUGGAGUAUGAUUUGAGGUUAAAAAGUGAAAAAAAUUAUUCUUGGUAUUUUUCGGAGCAUAGGGGUAAAAUGGUAAUUUUACUACCCCAGGGGCAAAACAGUAAUUUUCUACCCCCAGGACAUUUGUCCAGCACAUGGUUUUCCCUUAUCCUCACUUUCACCAUGGACUAAUCAUGUGCUGGAGAUAAAAAGGUUUAAAAUUUUUAAAGUUUUAAAAAUGGACCAAUGGAAACAUGCCACGUGUCAAGCAAAAAUACUUUAUUAUUUUUCUUAAAAAUCAGCCCAUAUUUAUUCCAUUUUCUCUUCAUGUGGCCGGCCAUAGUAAGAAAAAGAGAGGAAAGGAAAAAAAAAACACAAAACCUAGGUGGGAAAAUUCAAGAAAAAGUGUGGGAUUUCAAAGGAUCAAGCAAUCAAAGGUAAAAUUUCUUGAUUUUGACUUGUGAUCUACCUUUCCCAUGCAUUUCUCCUUAUUUUCCAUGGUUAAAUUUCAUGUUUUCAUGGUGAAUUCAUGGCUGCCCAAAUGGGUAUGGAGAGAGAAUGAAGUUAGAUUGAAUUGAUUUUAAGUUAUGUUAGUGUUUUAAGUUAGUUUAGUGCAUUUAGAAACAAAACAAUAAGAAAAGAAUUUAUUUUCCCCCAUCACCAUUAUUGGCCGAAUUUUCUAGGGAGGAUAUUGUGGCUGAAAUUGAUGAUAUUUCAUGAUAUUUUGGUGAUAUUUGAUGUUUAGUGAGGCUAGAAAUUAAAUGGGAAAUUUUGGUGUGAAAAUUUGAUUUUUUACCUAAUGUAUAGACAUGUGUGAUUAUUGACUCGAGACUGAUAAAUUGAAUCUCAUUCAUAGUCACUGAGGUAAUUUUGCUAAAAUUGGAGUGUAGAAAGUGAGAAGAAUUGAUUUGGAGUUAAAUCAGAGAUUUUAGCUGAUUAGGGCGAGUAUAGUGUGACUUAGGUAGAAUAUCACAUUUAAGUGAUUAAUUAGACAUUUUGCAUCCCAUCACAUGCAUUCAUUUAGAUUUAGAGAGCCUGAAAUAGUUUAUGAGAAAUUAACAUAAUUUAUUGAAAUUCGUGUCACGUAUGAUGUAUAGGUGGUGAGUCCUCUAACAAGGGUAAAGAGAUUGUGCCCGAAGAUCGAGAAUAGGAGUAUAUCGAACUCCUAAUAUUGUGAGUAACCUUACCAUCAUUUUUAUUAUCUAAAGUAUGUUUUUAAUCGAUUUUGGUAAAAUUUUAUAAAAAGGAGUUUAAAUAGUAAAUCUUUGUGUUUUACAAACAAAAUGUAUUUACAUGAAAGGAUUUUAUAAAUUGUCUUGAAAUCGAAUAAUGAUUUUGAAAAAUAGAGUAAUUGGANAAAAGGAGUUUAAAUGGUAAAUCUUUGUGUUUUACAAACAAAAUGUAUUUACAUGAAAGGAUUUUAUAAAUUGUCUUGAAAUCGAAUAAUGAUUUUGAAAAAUAGAGUAAUUGGAGACCACUUGUUAUAUUGUAAAUUUAUGAUUUGAAAUCGAAUGGCUUAUGACAAUAUUUGCAUGAAUGGCUGAAUUGAUAUUUGUGUUGAAAUGUAUGAAAUAUGUAUUUAGCCUUGAAAGGCUAUGAAUUACAAUAAUUGCCAUAUCAUGUUAUUGAAUUUUAUUGUAUGGUGGGUUAGCUUGCUGCAGUGGGCGGAUUCUGUGGACCAGCCUAUUAGAGGGGCACAGAAUUCGGAUAUAUAUAUAUAUAUGUACCUCGGUCGGAGAGGAGCGUAGGGUAUCUCUUGAGGUAUGGACAGAGUUCACGUCACGCCGAACCACCUCGUGAUGAUGAACUCUGCUAAUGCCAAGGAAUGGCUGUGUUUUUCAAACUAAAAAUAUGUUUUACGAGUAUACAAAGUUUUAACAGCCUUGGCGGGCUCGAGUGUACGCCUCUGAUCAAGGUGUCAUCGAGUACUAUUUGAUGGCAUGAGCUAAAUGUUUAUGAAAGUCAUAAGCCUUAACGAGAAAUUAAAUGAAAUACAACCAUUUGCAUAGGUUGGGAUAAAUUUUCAAAAUGUGAAAUACUUAAAAAAUGAUGGGAUAUUUUGAUUGUCUCCUUUUACUCGGUUUUAGCUGAUUUAAAUGAUGUUUGUUUACUCACUGGGAUUUUAUAAUCUCACCACCCUCCUUUCCACCCAUUUCAAGAUCAGAGUAGACUGUAGAUAGCUGAUUCCAUCGAGGGCUUCUAUUGGAUUAGCGUCUUCCACACAGUAAGUUCACAGUUUCUUAAAUUCUAGUUAUUGUGGGCCCACUUGAUAUAGUAAAUUUAUUAGUUGAUUGUGCUACAAUAUGAUGAAUUUAUUUUGCUUUUACGUUACAAAAAGUAUUUACGCAUAACUCCAAAAUUUCUGUUUAUAAGAAAAUAAAAUAUUUUAUUAAAUAUAUUCUUUUAUCUUCUUAUUAUAUUCAAAUAAUUACAAUUUCAUUUUAAAUAAAGGUUUUAGAUGCCUAAACUUAUUUUUAAUUGUGAAUUAUGCGAUUGGUACUUGUUUACUACAUUUUUAACUGGUUUCAAAAUUUUUAGUGGAAAAUGACCAAAAUGCCCCUGUGAGACAAAAAUUUUUAUUUUAUCAGUUUUAAGUUGAAAAUAGCUCAAAAUCCUUUCGAACAUAAAAUUUGGCAAUGGUUACUCACUAGGGGAAAUGCGAAAUUGAUAUUAAGCCUUACGGGAUUUCGAUUGGCAUUCCGGGAGAUGAGUGCCCAUUGAGGCACCGAGGCUGUUGUCACGGGCUCGAGGGGAGUUUCGUGUCGUGACAAUCCAAAUCUGAUCCAAGAAAGGCUUUUGACAAUCAUAUUCAAUACAAACCCUUGCCACACUUGGUCUGGUACCAUUAGCCAUAGCUUCAUCAACAACCAACUAUUUGCCCGCUAUCUUAGCAAUCCUCAAAAGAGCAUAUUUUUUAAGAAAAUGCACCUUUAGAUUAGGAAAAGAUAUCCAAACCAGAAUGAUCAAGGACUCCUUCUCCGUUUGGAAAUCUACGAACCAUUUAAAAACUCUCAUUUUUUGACUUGCAAUAAACCAUACCUAUUUAAACCAAAUACAAUUGAAAUCCUGCUUUUUCGAUAGAUAAAUCAAGAUAUGUUUGUAGUCUAACCACCGGAUCUCAUAUGCUCCGAUCAGCCCUAUCCCUUUAAAAGCCAAGCGAAUUUCCUACUGUCGAGGUGUUCUGGAAAAUUUCCCGAUUAGAGAAUGUUUGAAUGGCUAUGCCAAGACAUCAAUCUCAUCAUCAAAAAAGGCUGUAGUUGAGCGAUCUUUACACUAAAAAAGUUCUCGAGAAAAAGGCAUCAAGGGGGUUUUUUCUCUUAUCGCAACACUCAGGAAUGAUUUUUUUUGGACACGGGGAGAUACAUGAAGGUCUUCUACUGGUUGCAUGGCUUGCGGCAAGCCAUGAAUGGGUGGCAGUUGUAACUUUUGGUUUGCUGGCAGGUUGUGGGUGACCAUCAGUUGGCAUGGGGAGGCAAUAGCAACCGAUGGGAGGCCAAAGAGAGGGUUCGGUGGGCUACCAACCACCAAACCAUGAGGAUUUAGGAGGGACGGAGAAUGCAUGGGAGUUGAGAGUGUUUUCCAUUAAAAUUAUUUAAUUACUGUAUCUUAUUUACUAAAUAAACACUAAUAUUAUUUUGUUAUUUGUUUAUAAUAUAUUAUUUAUUAAUUAUUGACAAAAUUUAUUAUUUUGUAAAAUAUUAAUUACUUAUUUAUAAUAAGUAUAAGUCAUAUUUUUUUGAAAAGUAAGAAGUUUAUUGCUUGAUACCAAAGUCAAAAUAACUUUGUAUUUUAUGAAUUACAUAAAAAACUAAAAACAGAAAAUAACCCCAAAGCACUAAAAAAAAUCUAAUUUAAAGAUAUUGGAUAUCUAAUAAUAACUCUCGAUCCUAGAGUACAAUUAAAGGAUUAUAAAGCCAUUUAUGAUUUACAAUCACCAAUUAUCACUAACGGAGCUAAACCAUAGCAAUUUUCAAUCCAUUGUUUUCUGUCCAUUACCAAGAGCUAACCGUUCACACCCCACAAUCAUUUAAAGUAUUUUCCUACUACCCGUGUCUAAUUCAAUCAUAAACACCAGUGAUCCACUUGACCUAGUACUAUUUUGUAAUUAAACCAAAGAGUCAUAGUUAGGACUUUACUCAAGAUAAUUAAACUCAAUCGCAAUCUGAUAUGUACAGUCUUUAUCCAUCACUAAUCACUAAUAUGUUAAUUUUAUAUAAUAUAUAUUUAUAUGUAUUACUUUAUCAUAUAUAUAUAUAUAUAUGAAAUUAAUGGCACAACAUAUAUGUUAUAAUGUUUUAUAUCAAAGUUUGUAUAAAUAAUAACUAAUUAUAAACAAUAUGUUAUAAAAACUAAGGUGAUAAUUAAUAAAUUAAGUUAUUAAGUGUAAUCAUAUAAUUAAAGUUUAUUAUAAGUUGUUGUAAUACUUAUGUAAAAAUUAAAUAUAUAUAAUAUAUUUAUUUAAAUAUAUAUAUAUAUAUAUAUAUACAUUCAUAACAUUUUAUAUUACAAAACAUUACUAAGUUGUAAUAAACUAAUUUAUUUGAAGUAUAUAAUUUAAUUAAGUUUACUGUAAAUUCUUUUUAACUUAUAUUAACUAAUAUUAAUAUACAUCAAGUAUUAUUAUUUUUGUAUACCUUAUAUAGUUUUAUAUUUAUAUAGUACUCAUGAUUCAAUUAUCAAAAUUAUAUUAUGAAACCAAUUGUAAAGGAUGACGUACUCAAAGUAAUAUUAGAAUUAUCUGAUAUGAAUAUAAUCAAUGUAAAAUAAAAUGUCAUAUUCCUUUAUUGUAUAUAUAUAUAUAUAUAUAUAUAUAUAUAUAUAUAUUAAUGAAACAAAUUAUAAGUUAUAUAAUGUUAUAUAUAUUACAAAGUUUGUAUAACUAAUAACUAAUUGUAAAUAAUAUGUUAUAAAAACUAAGGUAAUAAUCAGUAAUAAAGUUAUUAAUGUAAACAUAUAAAUAAAAUUUGUUAUAAGCUAACAUAUAAGACAUAGGUGUAGUAAUUAUAACAUAUUAAUAUAUAUGUAGGAUAUUUAAUAUCUCAUAUAUAUAUUAACUUAUAAAGUUAUAUCAUUUAAAAUAGAUAACAGUUAAUUUCAUAUUAAUACAGAUAUAUAUAUAUAUAUAUAAUUUGUAUACAUAUAAUAAACUAAUAUAUUUUAAAUAUAUUCUACUAAUUAAAAGUUUACUAUAUAUAUUAGUCUUCUUAUAAUUUAUAUUAACUAAUAUUAGUAUGUACCUAAAAUAUUAUUAUUAAUUUUUGUUUAAUAUAUUAUUAGAUUUUAUCAUCUAUUUUCAUAAAAUUAAAAAAUUUAUUAUGUUAUUUUUAUAAAAUUUUUAAUUUUAUAACAUUAAUGAGUUUGGAACAAUUAAUUUAUAAUUUAUGAUUCAAUAAAGUUUUCAAAAUAUUUAAAAAAAUAAUAACCAAAGGAAAACAUAUUUAAAUUUUUAAUAUUAUAAAACUCAAUGUACAUAUAAUUUUAUUAAUAUAUUUCCUAUAAAGGAUUAAUAAAAUUUUAAAAAAAUCAUAAUAUAUUAGAAAUAAAAAAUUUUAAAAAUAGUAACACUAAUGAAAUUUUCCAACGGAAUAUUCUGUUGGAAAAUUUUUGUUGAUAAUGUCUUUUCCCAACGAAAAAUUCUUUGAAAAAUUUAGUAAGUUUUUAAUUUUUUUGGCGCCUUAAACUUUUCGACGGAUUUCCAACGAAUUAUUUUUCGUUGGAAAAUUCCAACGAAAAUCCGUCGAAAAUUUCCAACAAAAAUCUGUCGGAAAGUUUGGUAGGAAUAAAUGUUUUUUGUGCCAUAAAAUUUUCAAUAGAUUUCCAAUGGAAUUUGUCCAUUGGAAUUAUUCCAUUAGAAAUUUCGAACAUAAAAUUUCCAACGAAAUUUUUUCUGUUGGAAACAACUAGUUUUCUUGUAGUGGGUUUUGAAUAUGAUGCCCUCAACAAUGGAUGGAUAAGGAAAAAUGUACAUCAAGCAGAUCAAGAUCAAGGAAAAGCAACACAAGCAAUAGAUCAUAAAGAAUGGGCUAAUGAAGAUCAAUCAAAGACUGAUAAUUCAAAAACAACACCAAAUGAUUAUGAUUUGAAUACGCCUGAUUCACCAAUGGAUCGUCCAUUUCCAUAUGAACUACCUUCAAAAGCAUAUGAAGGUCCAUUUGGAUUACCCAGUAUAAAACACAUGCUUGAAGGUGCAUAUCACUUCUUUUGUGUUGAAAUGGACAAUCAAGAAAGGAUUUGGCUAGAAAAGCUUGAUGGAAUCAAUAAAAAGGUUGAUGCAAUAAUGGAGGACUAUUUUCUUACCCGGAAUGCCAACCGAAACCUUGCAAGGCUUUUGCAUCAGUUUUACUUCUCCCCUGUGAGCAACAGUUAUUAAAUAUCAUGUUUAAAGGAAAUAUAGACUAUUUUCAAAUAAAAAACAAUCAAAAAGUAAUUUCUACUACACAGGGGUAUUUUGGUCAUUUUACUCAAAAUUUUCAAACUUUGGUAAAAAUAUGAUAUACGAGUAAUAAGCAUCCAUUUCAUGUCUAAAAAUAAGUUUCGUUGUCUAAUUCAUCAAUUUAAAAUGAAGUUAUAGCUAUUUAAAUUAAAUAAAAAUAUUUCAUAAAAUAUUCCAUUUUCUUAUAAAACAAUAUUUAUAGAAUUCUACAUAAAUAAUUUUUAUAGCGUAAGAGCAAAAUAAAUUCAUACAUACAGUGGCACACGCAGCCAGGUAUACAAAAUAUUCUACAAUAACAUGUGGGUCCCAAUAUAACCAAAAUAAACACAACUGUAAACCUGCGAUUUUUAAGGGUGCGAAUCCAACAGCAAACCCUCAACAAAAUCGGCAGUCUACAGAUUUUCCUGAGCCUGAAAUAUGUGAAAGGAGGGUGGUGAGUUUUUAUAAACCCAGUAAGUAAGCAAAGUUCAUCUACAACAUCUAAAGCCGAGUAAAUGGAGACAAUUUAAAAUAUCUCAUCAUAAAAUGAUUCAUAACAUCAAAUCUCAUUUCAUUUCAUAUAAAUCAAUUUCAUUUCGUAAAAAUCAACAAGGCUUAUGAUUCCCGUAAAAACUUGGCUCGUGCCAAGAUUUACACUUGGUGACACCUUGCGCCGAGGCAUCCAACCGAGUCCGCUAAGGCUGUUAAAAUAACAUAUGAGUAUAAAACUCAUUCUUUUACAUUUAAAUGCAUAGUAGUUUGUUGGCGUUGACCGAGUUUCACCCUCACGUGGUGGUUCGGCGUGAAGUGAACUCUAACGUUAUCUUAGGAGAUACCCUCCGCGCCUCUCGUACCAAGGUAAAAUAUAAUAGGGUUUACCGUGCCCCUCUCAUAGGCUGGUCUGAGGAAACCCACCCACUGCAGUAAGCUAAUCAAAUAACCCACCAAUUUAAUAAAAUUUCAAUAGAUAACAUGGCUAAUAUGAUAUUACCAGCCUAUCAAGGCAAAGCAAAACAAUCCAUAUCUUCCACACAAACACAAAUCCAGCCAUGCUUGCCAUCAAUUCAAACCAUAUGUCAAAACAUAUAUAUAACACAAGUAUACAGUCUCCACUUACUCAAUUUCCAAAACCAGUAUUCAAUUUCAAAACAAUUUAUAAUCUCAUUUCGUUUAACCAACACUUCAACUAUAAAACAUAAUAGUUUGCAAUUUAAAUUCAUUUUUCUUUAAAACCUAAAAACGAGUAUAAACAACUUCAGAUAGUUAAGAUGAUCGUCUGAUUACUCACCUUAAUGGAAGUAUGGAGUACUCCUAUUCUUGGUCCUCGAGUACGAUAUCCUUACUCUUACCAAGGGGCUCACCACCUAUACCUAGUACACAAUAAGUAAUUUAACACAUUUGUGCCAAACUGUUAUAAAACUAUUUCAGGCUCUACAUGAAUGCAUGAAAUGGAAUGAGAAGUGUCUAAAUAAUCACUUAAAGACGGUGUUCUACGUAGGUUCAAUUGUGAUCGGAAUGAAUUUGUAUUCGACCUAAUUCAAACUAUACACCAUUGAUUUAACCAAAACAUCCGAUUCAACUCCAAAUAUAUUCAUUACACUUCCAAUAUUCCAAUUACACCCAAAGUACCUCAAUGAACUCGAUUUUCUCAUUGUUGUUCAAAUCGUUUACUAAAGGAACAAUACGUUUUCAUAACCGUUUUCAAUAUCCGGCACCACAAUUCAUCAAAUACGAGUUAAAUAACAUGAGAUAUAACAAGAUUCAUCAUCAAUAUGUCCUUUAGUAAAUUCGUCCAAGGAGGGUUUGAUGAAGAAUGUGUGGUUUUCAUGCUUGUUUCUCACACCAAAUAUCACAAAACAACUAAAAACGCGUAUAUAGCAUGAAAUCUAACAAAACCCGUGAUCAAAACCUCUCCCCCUAGGUUUGGCCAGCAAACUUUCCUUCAUGAAAUCUUGAGUUUCAACCAUAGAAAAUGAAAAAGAAAUCAUAGGAAAGGUAGAUCUUAAGCUAAAAUUAGAAAAUCUUACCUUUACUUGCUUGAUUCCUUGAAAUCCAACAAUUUCUCUUGAAUUUUUCCUUUCUAGGGUUUGUUCUUCUCUUUUUCUCUUUGUUCCCUUGCUUGGCC
RNAcentral lists this long non-coding RNA (42277 nucleotides) under Theobroma cacao (cacao). Its description in RNAcentral is "long non-coding RNA (TCAC_LNC003076)". Lineage: Eukaryota; Viridiplantae; Streptophyta; Magnoliopsida; Malvales; Malvaceae. The record is from RNAcentral.